RNAcentral lists this long non-coding RNA (463 nucleotides) under Brassica napus (rape). RNAcentral's name for it is "long non-coding RNA (BNAP_LNC010204)". Lineage: Eukaryota; Viridiplantae; Streptophyta; Magnoliopsida; Brassicales; Brassicaceae. The record is from RNAcentral.
UUCUCUAGUUUCACAGCAUCGCUAACAUUGUGAUAUAAUAGGCCCACUUUCCUAAUUGUAUUUGUGUGUCAAUCAUAAUUAACAGUGUGAUAUAAUAGCCCCGCGUUUCCUCUAUCCGUAUUUGUGUGUCAAAAUCUAACGACCACAAUAACCGUUAUAAACCAGGUAUGAUUUCACUGGAAUUAUACCAUACAUACACAUGUCACUAUCAAUUUGUGAGAAUAUAUUGUUAUGAGCAUGGGAAUUCAACAAUAUUCUGAAGAAAUUUGAUACAUACAAUAAUUUUUUAUACAUGUAGAUUGUUGCUGACAUUAUUCACAUUUUUUUAUACAUAGGUGACAAAUAUUAAAAGUUAGCGAGUGCUAAUACCUAAAAGGUGAAUCUGAACACCGAAAAACAUGCCCUAAACCCAAAAUACUUAACCUAAACCCUAACAAUAGUUUAGAUUCGCUUCCUCUUUCCU